AUGCCCAUGAACUUGGCCGGGAGCGCCUUCCCGAAUGCCCGCACCGGGCCGGAGCCCCUCCCGGUCCUGGAUAUCCGAGGCCCCCACCCACUCUGCGCCCCCAAGAACAAAGCUCGCCGCCGCCCUGUCCCGGGGCCUCCUGCGGUCAGGUGUCAGGCAGCCUGGGCACCGCUGCUCCUACGACCCUCGUCACGGGUCCCCGCCGAAGGGGGUAUCUCGGCCCGCCCUCCCCGCGGCGGCCCCCGCUCGGGACUUGUGGGCCUGUCCCGUGGGUGGGGGAGUAGCUGGUCCUCCCGGGGGCCCCUUCACGGGGAAGGCCAGACGCAGAGAUGCCGCCGGGGCCUCCCCGCCCCCCUUCCCCAGCCGCCGCAACAAUGGAGGGCCGGGCUGCAGAGGCCGGGGCGCCCGCCCCCCGGCCGCGAGCAGGUGCGCGAAGGGGUUGCGGCCGGGUCCCGCCGGCGCCGCGUCUUGCCGAACCCCCGCCCCGCGGGCGGCCCCCGCCCCGCCCGCGCCCCCGGCCCGCCGGGCGCCCGAGCUCACCUCGUUUUGGGCCGCCGCCGUGUUUCCCCUCUUCUGUCCAAAACCUGCCCGGAAAAGCCCCCCGAGCCGAGGCGCCUGCACGGGAAAUUGCAUUUUGGCGGCUCCCGGGCUGGCCAGGGGCUCCCCCGGCCCCGGGCAGGGGGAGGGGGCCGCGGGGCUCCGGCGCCGGCUCGAACCCGCGGCCGCCGCCUCCCGCCCGCCCGCCUGUCUGUCUCGGUGACGUGCCCGCGCUCCCCGCCGCCGCCGCCGCCGCCCCCCUCCCUCCUCCCCGCGCCGUGCCGGGCGGUGGGUCCAGCCGCGGCCUUAUGCGCCCCUAGGCCUCCUGCCAGGCUCAGGGGAACGAAAGCAGGGAUGCCCAUAGGGCUCCAGGACGCAGCUCCGGGCCCCCGCACAGGGGACACGGGGACACGGGGGCUCGAGCGGGCGCACGCUGGAACCCAGAUGCACGCAGACCUCAAAGGCGCACGGGGAGCACACGCGCACAAAGGCAUGCGAACCACAAACACAGGGAAGGGUGUGCAGGGGUCUUCCAGACACAAACCCAAGGGAGGGAAUAGUAAGACAGGCAGAGGCACCAGCCACACCAGGAUGUCCUUAAAACCCAGCUAUAAAGGC
This 1155-nucleotide long non-coding RNA is filed under the name Sus scrofa (pig). RNAcentral describes it as "lncRNA (ENSSSCG00070001213.1)". Lineage: Eukaryota; Metazoa; Chordata; Mammalia; Artiodactyla; Suidae. The record is from RNAcentral.